CUCCAACUGCCGAGAGCAAAAGCCAGCAGCUGCAUUCCGUCACCUUUUCCCCAGCCCAAUUAUCGCAGUAUUUCUGCUCCUCCGGGAGAAACCCUCAGAUAAGAGAGUAGCCAGCCUCACCCGUCCCGGGACAAUUUAUUUUAUCUCUCUUAAGUGUACUGUCUCUUAGCAGUAAAAUGGGAGAAAAUUUCCCAAGACAAAGAAAGCAAAAGGAAAAACCCUGACCUCCAACAAAUGAUACUAUGGUAUCCACAUCAGGGAUUUAAGGCCUUAUGCUUGCAGUGACAUUAUUGAACUGCUGCAGUUUUUCUCUCUGUACCAAGGAGUAUGCUAUAGACCUCUGCUGAGGUGAAUCCAGAGCUACCACAGGAAAUCCGAUAAAGAAUCAGAGACUUCGUUCCCUGGAGCUUACCUGUGGCAUUUUGGGAGUCAGAGAAGGAUGCCAUCAAUGUGAGAACUACAAGAAGCUUUUAAGAGCACCUCUAUGUCUGAAGAACCCUGUCAAAUUUUGUCCAUGUGCCCUAUUUCAAAACAGAAGAUUGUAGUAGAAAUAAAGUAU
This is a non-coding RNA of Cyanistes caeruleus (blue tit), 559 nucleotides long. NCBI's taxonomy places the organism in Eukaryota, Metazoa, Chordata, Aves, Passeriformes, Paridae. The record is from RefSeq and is a predicted model, not a curated record.